GCGGAUGACCUGUGGCUGGGGGUGAAAGGCCAAUCAAACCGGGAGAUAGCUGGUUCUCCCCGAAAGCUAUUUAGGUAGCGCCUCGUGAAUUCAUCUCCGGGGGUAGAGCACUGUUUCGGCUAGGGGGCCAUCCCGGCUUACCAACCCGAUGCAAACUGCGAAUACCGGAGAAUGUUAUCACGGGAGACACACGGCGGGUGCUAACGUCCGUCGUGAAGAGGGAAACAACCCAGACCGCCAGCUAAGGUCCCAAAGUCAUGGUU
This 263-nucleotide ribosomal RNA is filed under the name Salmonella enterica subsp. enterica serovar Agona. RNAcentral's name for it is "partial 23S ribosomal RNA". It matches the Rfam family "Bacterial large subunit ribosomal RNA", at positions 800 to 1060 of the family's 2925-position model. RNAcentral also lists the same sequence under 1 other name. The record is from RNAcentral. Lineage: Bacteria; Pseudomonadati; Pseudomonadota; Gammaproteobacteria; Enterobacterales; Enterobacteriaceae.